This is a non-coding RNA of Pleodorina starrii, 123 nucleotides long. The record is from the annotation of a GenBank genome assembly. Lineage: Eukaryota; Viridiplantae; Chlorophyta; Chlorophyceae; Chlamydomonadales; Volvocaceae.
ACCGGCGUAGCUCAAGUUGGAUAGAGCACCGGGUUAGUAACCGGCGGUGUCUGGAGUUCGCAUCCCCAGAGAUCAGCCACAUAACUUAACCGGAAGACGUGGGAUCGUACCCCACCGCUGGUC